CCUCUGCUAAACAAGUAGCUGAAGCAGGAAUGAAUGUAACAUCUUUACUUUCUAGAAUCCUAAUGUUCACAGAAUGGUUUAGUUAAGACUUUAGAUAAGCCAAUAGAGUAGCUCGUCUCGUCUCAUAGUAUGAAUAAGAAGCAAAGUCAAUAGUCACUUCAAUCGGCAUAAUCAAAAUAGAAAUAUUGGAAAGGAAUAGUAGAGGGCUAGAAGCUACUCGUUCACAUUGGGAACCACCACAGAAAGCCUCAUAACACUCGAAACUGCCCACUCCUAUGAGAAUGAUGACUAAACCCGCUAGAAGAUCGUUAAAACGUGAGAUAACUGCUUCUAAUCCACUCGAAAAAAGAUACCUAUUGCCCUAAC
This 366-nucleotide long non-coding RNA is filed under the name Elaeis guineensis (African oil palm). RNAcentral's name for it is "long non-coding RNA (EGUI_LNC012031)". The record is from RNAcentral. Lineage: Eukaryota; Viridiplantae; Streptophyta; Magnoliopsida; Arecales; Arecaceae.